This 1079-nucleotide long non-coding RNA is filed under the name Heterocephalus glaber (naked mole-rat). Its description in RNAcentral is "lncRNA (ENSHGLG00000033521.1)". The record is from RNAcentral. Lineage: Eukaryota; Metazoa; Chordata; Mammalia; Rodentia; Bathyergidae.
ACACACACACACACACACACACACACGGGAGAGAGAGGGGGAGAAAUCUCAUUUUACAGGAAGGGAGCCCUGUCCUCUUCCCUUUUGUCUUUGGAUGCUGGUAUGUGAAGAUGUGACAAACGGAACGGCAGGAGCCAUUUUACUACAGGAGGCAACAUGUGGAUAAACUACACCAACCCAUUAAAAAGUGGCAGAGCUGGGCCGGGGAUUUAGCUCAGUGGCUCCACUGCCUGCCUCACAAGUGCAAGGACCUGAGUUCGAUCCCCCGGUACCCUCAACAAAUAGUGGCAGAGCUGAAAGAUUCAAAGGGUCCAGGUCCUGGAUGGGGCCAUUGAGGUGCUGAGCCAGGAUGAGGCAUCGUGCUGGGGAGGACACAGGCAGCUCUCUUGACUGGCACCAAAGCGCUUGAUCAAUCAGCAAAUGUGUAUGGAUUGUCUGGUGUGUGCCAGGCCCUGCGUUAAGUGCUCAGAUAAUGGUGUGGUUUUCGUCUUCGUGAACUUUUGUUGAGGGGAUCUGAGCUACUGGAGGAAUUAUAUCCCUGCACAUGAGCAGGGGAAGUUCAGGGAUGCUGGGACUGAACCUAUGACCAAGGUAAAGGAAAAGGUCAGGAGGAGGGUGUGGAUAACGCCUGAAGGGCAGCUUACAGCCCUGGAAGCCUUGAAAAGGACAGGGAGGUGAUCUGAUCUGCCUUAGGAUGAAGUCUCUGGGAGCUGUGCCAGAAGUGGAGGAGGAAGUGCAGCCAGAGACCCAGCCAGGUUCCUCUACCAGUCGGGAGCAGCGCAGCAGGCCGGCCUGGCUGCUGUGGGGCCUCGGUUGUGCAGACCACACUGCGUAGUUGCACAGACACAGGCUGAGUCUUCUCCAACAAGAGGGGAAGAUAGGAGUCUCACUUUUGGGGUCCAACUCCCAGGCACAGCAGGCCCUACUGGAUACGGAGCAAAACAGGAAGUCUUGGCCCCAAAUUCCUAGCGCAGAGGGGGGCUCCUGGUGCGGAUCACACCUGCGUGGCUGCUCGGACAGUUUUGGGGCCCCCAGCUGGAGUGAUGACAGUCUUGGGGGUCUUGGGGCCGGCGGCCUGG